This is a long non-coding RNA of Triticum dicoccoides, 290 nucleotides long. RefSeq lists it as uncharacterized. The record is from RefSeq and is a predicted model, not a curated record. NCBI's taxonomy places the organism in Eukaryota, Viridiplantae, Streptophyta, Magnoliopsida, Poales, Poaceae. The transcript has 3 exons.
UCGGUCUGAACUGUGCGAUUUACGUUUCGUCAGAGGUCUGUUCUUGGGAUUCUGGUGCUGUUGAUCUCGUCAAGGGCCUCAUCUGCUUUCUUUCAUCUUGUGAAGGGGUAUCUAAGAGAGCUGGUCCAGGCUUGAUGGAAAUCGCUUGAUGGAAAUCACUUCAUAGCGCCUAUAUGUGACUAUCUACUUUGUUUGCUAAUAACAUUGUAAAUAAUUAAUCGUAAGCUUCUUAGAACACUAUGUAUCAUUACUAAGUAUCUAUCUACCAGCAAUAAGUACUUAUUUUCAUA